UACGAAGGGGACUAGCGUUGUUCGGAAUUACUGGGCGUAAAGCGCACGUAGGCGGCUUUGUAAGUUAGAGGUGAAAGCCCGGGGCUCAACUCCGGAAUUGCCUUUAAGACUGCAUCGCUAGAACGUCGGAGAGGUAAGUGGAAUUCCGAGUGUAGAGGUGAAAUUCGUAGAUAUUCGGAAGAACACCAGUGGCGAAGGCGACUUACUGGACGACCGUUGACGCUGAGGUGCGAAAGCGUGGGGAGCAAACAGG
Molecule: ribosomal RNA, 253 nt
Filed under: uncultured bacterium
Lineage: Bacteria
Description: partial 16S ribosomal RNA
Rfam family: Bacterial small subunit ribosomal RNA
Source: RNAcentral